GGGUAAGUUAGAAUGUUUUUCACCAUCAUAAUGUAAUAAAAUAGGUUAUAUGACAAAUACUUAUGUUGCAUAUUUUGACAGUUAUCAGGUAUAGUUAAUUAAAUGUUUUAACGAAUUUCCUGGGUGUUUUAAUCGAUGUUGUUUCAAAUUACGUAUUAAUAUAACACUGAUAAGACACAAACUACAGUUCGGUAUGUAAUUUAACUUGUUUACACGAGUAAAAGUUACUCGCGCUAAUGUGCUAACGUGCUAACUGCCCGGUGCUACGUGAGUCAGAGGCCGGGGUGGAGUGCAUGAGCCGCGGUCAGACAGUCACCAAUCACCGGGCGGCUAAAUGGAUCGACGGAGGAUAAAACCAUUAAAAGAUGCGGAGAAACACAUCACCAGCUCCACUGACAAGACCCAUUCACUGGAAACCGAAUAUAUAGAAGGUUACUAAGUUUUGCAGCAUUGAUGCCGAUCAUGAGGACGAUCUGCACCCUAACUGCACUGUCAAUAAGAUCGUUGUUCAGAGAAAACCUCAUUUGUGCCUUUUUGCAAUCAGGGAUAUUUUCUUUGGAGAGGAAAUAACGUUUGACUAUGGCGCAUGUGAUUGGCCUUGGAGAAAGCUUUCAUUGAAGGAUGCCCAUAUGACUGCAGAAGAAAACUGCUCCGACAACUCUCUGAUGAGCUUUCAUUGAAGUAUGAUCAUAUGACGAGAAGAAGAGAACUGCUCUGCUCCAGUAGGAGACCCACAACCCUCUGAUGAGCUUAUAUUGAAGGAUGACCAUAUGACAGAGGAAGAGAAC
Molecule: non-coding RNA, 788 nt
Organism: Danio rerio (zebrafish)
Lineage: Eukaryota; Metazoa; Chordata; Actinopteri; Cypriniformes; Danionidae
Source: RefSeq, a predicted model, not a curated record